Molecule: ribosomal RNA, 430 nt
Filed under: uncultured archaeon
Lineage: Archaea
Description: bacterial SSU rRNA
Rfam family: Archaeal small subunit ribosomal RNA
Source: RNAcentral
UACCAGCUCUCCGAGUGGUAGGGAUGAUUAUUGGGCUUAAAGCGUCCGUAGCCGGCUUAGCAAGUCUCCUGUUAAAUUCAGCGACCUAAUCGUUGAGCCGCGGGAGAUACUACUAGGCUAGGAGGCGGGAGAGGUCAACGGUACUUCCGGGGUAGGGGUGAAAUCCUAUAAUCCCGGGAGGACCACCAGUGGCGAAGGCUGUUGACUAGAACGCGCUCGACGGUGAGGGACGAAAGCUGGGGGAGCGAACCGGAUUAGAUACCCGGGUAUCCCAGCUGUAAACGAUGCGAGCUAGGUGUUGGGGUGGCUACGUGCCACUUCAGUGCCGCAGGGGAAGCCAUUAAGCUCGCUGCCUGGGGAGUACGGCCGCAAGGCUAGAAACUUAAAGGAAUUGGGCGGGGAGCACCACAAGGCGUGAAGCUUGCGGUUC